UACAGAGGUCUCAAGCGUUGUUCGGAUUCAUUGGGCGUAAAGAGCUCGUAGGCGGCCGGUUGCGUCUGCUGUGAAAUCCCGGGGCUUAACCCCGGGCGUGCAGUGGAUACGGGCCGGCUGGAGGCAGGCAGGGGAGAAUGGAAUUCCCGGUGUAGCGGUGAAAUGCGCAGAUAUCGGGAGGAACACCGGUGGCGAAGGCGGUUCUCUGGGCCUGUACUGACGCUGAGGAGCGAAAGCGUGGGGAGCGAACAGG
This 253-nucleotide ribosomal RNA is filed under the name uncultured bacterium. RNAcentral describes it as "partial 16S ribosomal RNA". It matches the Rfam family "Bacterial small subunit ribosomal RNA", at positions 524 to 776 of the family's 1533-position model. The record is from RNAcentral.